Non-coding RNA from Ictidomys tridecemlineatus (thirteen-lined ground squirrel), 1948 nucleotides. The record is from RefSeq and is a predicted model, not a curated record. NCBI's taxonomy places the organism in Eukaryota, Metazoa, Chordata, Mammalia, Rodentia, Sciuridae.
AAGUGUGUGGCAGAAAGAAGCAGUUCACAUCCUGACGAUCAAGAAGCAGAGAGAGACUCCACCCUCUAGAUACAAAUAUAUACACCAAAGCCUCACUCCAAUUCACACCUUCUUUAGCCACACCUUACCACUUUAGUUAAUCCCAUCAUUAACUCACUGAUUAGGCUGAGGCUAUAAUCCUGUCAUUACUCCUCCAAAGCUUGUUGCAUUAUCUCACAUGUGAGCUUUUGGAGGACACUACAUUUAAAACCUAACACUCACUUCAGUUGCUAUAGACACUGACACAGCCCUCUGAACUCUAUUAUUCUGUCUUGGAACCUUUGUUUCAGAGUGGUCUGCACUGACUUGGACAGUCAAGUUUUCUUACAAGUUUUGUCACAGUAAUCUACCUGUUGGUCAGAGAGUGGCCAUAAAGGGCUUCCUGGGGGACAUUCACAAAUCCAUCUUCAUGGUUUAGACAAAAUUGUGAUAACAACUAGAAACAAUUUGAUGUGCACUCAUCUUCAAGGAAAUUAUUUUGUGAAUCUUUAUUCAUGAGAAUUAUAUGAGAUAAUAUGGUUUUCAAAGAAUGUGUUUUAACUACAUGUCAUGAUAAUGGUUUGAUAUUUGUGUUUCCUCAUUUUAUGGCAGCUUUGGUAUAUCCACUUGUUUUGUGUUUUAUUGACUUAUUCUCAUUAUUACUGUGCUGUUUAUUAAAUAAUAGAGGAUUGUUCUGUGGGUACAAAUUGUCCCUGAAAAUGUAUAUUACUUUAGAAACUUCAACAAUAUUUUUAGACAUAGAGCAAAUGAACGUUAAUAAGUUUGUAGUGUUUAAUUUCAUUUAAUAUGUUAUGAGUUAGAAAAGUUACAUAAUUGAGCACUGACUAUAUCCAACAUAGAGUUGUUUCUUUAGUUUUUCAAUUCUUUUUACAAAAGCAAAAAUAUCUUGAAGAAUUUUGUGGUCUUGAAACUUUCAUGAAUUGAAUGAUCAUGUUAAUAUGAUAUUAUACUUUAUAUUUUGCUUAUUGGCCUUUGCCCAUUAAUUUCCAGCUGACUUCCAUAGCAGUUGACACAUUGUUGUUCUGGGAACACAUUGUUGUUAACGGUUGGAAGAUACAUAAUACAGCAAAAAAUAAGUGGUUUGUGUGCAUGGCAAAAGCACCUGAAGAAAAGCAUGAGAAGUUUGAAGCUAUUUUGAAAGAAAGAGAACAACAAAAGGUCUAAAACUAGGAAUGGAGCAAGUCACCUGAGUAAUGAUCUCUGAACAGGGUGAGAAACUUUAUAAAAUGAUGUGCAAACAAGGAAAUCUGAUGAAAGACAGAUAAAGGAAAUUGAAUAUGUUCCCUAAAUUCUUCCUUGGAAGGUAGGGUUGGUAAUCUGGGUGCAUAUACUUCUUUAUGUUUACCCUCUCACAUGUUAACUUUAAUUAUUUUUUUAUAGUUUUUUAAAAUAUUUUUUUUUAUUUUUUAAAAGUAAAUCGUACAUUACAGGAAAAAAAAACACAAGCAAAGAACAAAGCCAUCCCAUCACAAGAAGCUUAGUUGGACGUGUCCCUCUAAGUUGUGUGCAUAUAUACACAAUAUCCCAUUUUGAUAAAGAUUGUGGUGUGUGUUAUGCUAUUCCACACAUCAUGAAUAUUCACCAAUUCAAAAUUCCAAAGCUACAUGAGUAUUUUUUGAUAACCAAGAAUACACUGCACCAACUCAAUCUGUUAUCCUUUCUUGGGGACAAAAAAUUCACUGAAGACAGAAAUGGCAACAGGCCUCUAUAUAGACAUAUUGGCAGAGUUACAACUAAAACAAUUAAUUCCCUUAAUGCUCAAUUUAAAAUGAAACAGCAACAGAAUACACCAAGCUUGUUUCACUAACAGAUUUUUACUACUAAAAUAUUAUCAAGAAUGCAUGUUCCCAGUGAAUUAAAAUAUUCCUAUAGUACAGCCAGAAGAUGCACACACACCAGUGGCUCACAU